This is a non-coding RNA of Alphaproteobacteria bacterium 13_2_20CM_2_64_7, 141 nucleotides long. Lineage: Bacteria; Pseudomonadati; Pseudomonadota; Alphaproteobacteria. The record is from Rfam.
CUUAAAAUCUUAAGACCUUGUUAAGCUUUCACGACCAUUACUAGGCGCGUCCAUCUUCUGGACAUUGAGUGGCUCCUGUCCACUCUGUUUGACGCCUCCCUGUUUAAACUUUGAGCCGCCGGCUACGGCGGCUCUUUUUUC